This 406-nucleotide long non-coding RNA is filed under the name Homo sapiens (human). RNAcentral describes it as "HSALNT0110659". Lineage: Eukaryota; Metazoa; Chordata; Mammalia; Primates; Hominidae. The record is from RNAcentral.
GAUUGGGUGGAGGCAAGAGAAGAAUAUUUAGAAGCAAAAGGGAAAGACAUGAAACCUCAAACUAAGUGACAAAGUGAGCAUAAUCACUGUCAGAGGAGAAUGUUAAGAAAACACAAAAGAGGUGCCGAUCCACAAGACAAAAAGUGAGAAACACACUCACUCGUCCAAACCCAAAGAAUGGAUUUAGAGGCAUGAAGAACAGCAAAAGUGAAACUAUUAAAUAAUGAUUUUGCAAGAUCAGGUGUCUGCUCAAGGUCACGAUUGGAAAAUAGUAAUCCUCUCUGAAAGCUUCAUACCACAGGAAGUUUUAGGGUACAUGUGCACAAUGUGCAGGUUAGUGGAACGCAGCUCCUCACCAGCAACGGAACAAAGCUGGACGGAGAAUGACUUUGACGAGUUGAGAGAA